UGCAGUCGAGCGGAUUUAUCCUUCGGGAUAAGUUAGCGGCGGACGGGUGAGUAACACGUAGGUAACCUGCCUAUAAGAUCGGGAUAACUAUCGGAAACGAUAGCUAAGACCGGAUAACUGGUUUUCUCGCAUGAGAGAAUUAUGAAACACGGAGCAAUUCCCUGGCUUAUAGAUGGGCCUGCGGCGCAUUAGCUAGUUGGUAGGGUAACGGCCUACCAAGGCGACGAUGCGUAGCCGACCUGAGAGGGUGAACGGCCACACUGGGACUGAGACACGGCCCAGACUCCUACGGGAGGCAGCAGUAGGGAAUCUUCCGCAAUGGACGCAAGUCUGACGGAGCAACGCCGCGUGAGUGAUGAAGGUUUUCGGAUCGUAAAGCUCUGUUGCCCUAGACGAACAGCAAGGGGAGUAACUGCUCUUUGUGUGACGGUAUAGGAGAAGAAAGCCCCGGCUAACUACGUGCCAGCAGCCGCGGUAAUACGUAGGGGGCAAGCGUUGUCCGGAAUUAUUGGGCGUAAAGCGCGCGCAGGCGGUCAAUUAAGUUGGGUGUUUAAGCCCGGGGCUCAACCCCGGUUCGCAUCCAAAACUGGUUGACUUGAGUGUAGGAGAGGAAAGUGGAAUUCCACGUGUAGCGGUGAAAUGCGUAGAGA
This 650-nucleotide ribosomal RNA is filed under the name uncultured bacterium. RNAcentral's name for it is "bacterial SSU rRNA". It matches the Rfam family "Bacterial small subunit ribosomal RNA", at positions 56 to 696 of the family's 1533-position model. The record is from RNAcentral.